UCAGAACUGAGAGGCACUCGAUCCGACCAACUGUGUUCGGGACUUCCUGUCUUUAUAUACACUAGCCACCUAGCUGCAGAGAAGAUGCGUUCCUCGCUUGUUUCUGCAUUGAUGGUGAUCUCCCUAUUCACAAGUAUAGAUCUGAAUCCCCAGAUGGUCGUUGAAGCAGCCAGUACAGGUCAGACUCCUUUGGGAGGUUGUUCUGGUCACAUCUGCAGUAUGUACUGCUACGUCUGGGAAAAUACAUGGAGAGGGAAAUGUGUGAGCGGCAAGUGUAAAUGCAAGACCUAGCAAAAGCAGAGAUGGGCGGAGGUAUCAGGGGUUAGGUCCCUUGCAGUCCAGAGUAGCGGCCCUUCCACCAUUCACAUCAUUGUCGUAGAUCCGUGAUCUGCACUACCAAAACCAUCCUCAAUAAACAUCUCGCAAGUGUACACUGCUUUUAAAUUGUAAUUAUUAUUACUUACUUCAAGAGUUGUACUACUAUUGCGUGGUGUUUCUAAGUGUAUUUUGUGACAUUCAGUUAUUUCAAGAGUUUCUUUUCGGCAUACCGUUUGCUAUGUAGAGCGUAAAUAAAUACUUUGCAACAGAAAUUAA
Liolophura sinensis is the source of this 594-nucleotide long non-coding RNA. RefSeq lists it as uncharacterized. The transcript has 4 exons. NCBI's taxonomy places the organism in Eukaryota, Metazoa, Mollusca, Polyplacophora, Chitonida, Chitonidae. The record is from RefSeq and is a predicted model, not a curated record.